Molecule: ribosomal RNA, 497 nt
Filed under: uncultured bacterium
Lineage: Bacteria
Description: partial 16S ribosomal RNA
Rfam family: Bacterial small subunit ribosomal RNA
Source: RNAcentral
GAUGAACGCUGGCGGCGUGCCUAAUACAUGCAAGUCGAGCGAACAGACGAGGAGCUUGCUCCUCUGACGUUAGCGGCGGACGGGUGAGUAACACGUGGAUAACCUACCUAUAAGACUGGGAUAACUUCGGGAAACCGGAGCUAAUACCGGAUAAUAUAUUGAACCGCAUGGUUCAAUAGUGAAAGACGGUUUUGCUGUCACUUAUAGAUGGAUCCGCGCCGCAUUAGCUAGUUGGUAAGGUAACAGCUUACCAAGGCAACGAUGCGUAGCCGAUCUGAGAGGGUGAUCGGCCACACUGGAACUGAGACACGGUCCAGACUCCUACGGGAGGCAGCAGUAGGGAAUCUUCCGCAAUGGGCGAAAGCCUGACGGAGCAACGCCGCGUGAGUGAUGAAGGUCUUCGGAUCGUAAAACUCUGUUAUUAGGGAAGAACAAAUGUGUAAGUAACUAUGCACGUCUUGACGGUACCUAAUCAGAAAGCCACGGCUAACUACGUG